This is a long non-coding RNA of Labrus mixtus (cuckoo wrasse), 778 nucleotides long. RefSeq lists it as uncharacterized. Lineage: Eukaryota; Metazoa; Chordata; Actinopteri; Labriformes; Labridae. The record is from RefSeq and is a predicted model, not a curated record. The transcript is spliced from 2 exons.
AAUUGCUUGUUAGUGCACUGACCUUUAUGGCUGUGACUGCCAACAGAAUGGACUAAAUGCAGCAGCCAGACAUCAUGGAGCUCACUGCACCUUUAUUGUGCACAAACAAUGCUACUCUACUCCUGCUCGUUACUGAGACCACUAAAAUAUCUCUUUGAGAAAGUUUGAGUAUUAUGUUACCUAAGUGUAUGCAGCAAACCAUUAAGUAAAUCCAUCUGUGAAACACUACAUUAAAGGCUUUCUAUGUGAUUUUUCACACUUAAAUGUAGAAAUCAAGUUUAUCCUCUGAAAAUAACUCUGUGAGUCAUGACUGUCUACAAUGGGUGUAACACCCGAGUCCCACUGUCUGUGAUGUUUUCAGAGUUUUCAGAGUCCUAUCUUCAGUUUGUUUACAUCGCCAGGACGGCCGGCUGACUCCUCCCCUCGUGUAUAAAAGUUGUUUAAUUGAGGGACUAGAGAAAAGAAGAAUAACAUACUGUACUCACUGCUUAACUGUGUUUCUAGAUCACGCUCAUUUCAGGUAAAUUUACAUGCAGUGUGAAGAUACGAGCAUAAUAAAGAUCGCUAGCAUUAGCAUGCUAACACAACAAUGCAGCGCGAGUUGUUUUGGUUUCAUGCUGCCUUUAAUAUGUUGUGAUAUAAAAAUAAUUCGCAAACUGAAUAAGCUAUAAUAUUUUGGGAGUGAUGCGUUUAACCAUGCCUAGCUUUUAGCAGUAUUACAAACAGGUACUGUACUAUGGUGAUACAGUAUGCCAACAUAAUAAAGACAUGAAAUCUA